GAUUAUUCAAUUUGUCAUUUAGGAAAUGGAUUAGGCAUUUCAUAUAAGGUCGCUGGAAAUGUGAUUUAAGAGUUUCAGAAUAAUUAAGGUAAUCAUAGCAUGCAUGCCAAUAAUAAUGAAUUAAACACUAAGCUUGGGGCGGUAAUCAGAGUUUACAAAUGGCGCUGUGAAUUCAUCUAAACAAGCCAUCCGAAUCCGUUCAGGUGUUGCUGGAUUAUCAAGUGGAAACCACUCGCAAUGCCCUACUUCUGCUCUUGCAGCUAUAAUGGCAUCUUUGAUGGCGAAAAAGACGGCUGAAGCCAGAAAAAAUGGAGGCUCGCCAACAGCUUUAGAUGAAUGGAUGGCCUUUACAUUUGGAUGGCCCUUUAGAAGUGACACAUUGAAUUUGAAGGGAGCAUCAUUUAUGGAAGGAAUCUUGUAGCUUCCAGGCCCACACGUAUACAAGCAGCCAGGUGGUAUCCACUUGUGAGCUAAGUCUCCCCACUUAAGUUCUUCCAAGGCUACCCACCCCAAACCUUGUAUAAAUGCUCCUUCAAUCUGUCCAACAUCAAUGGCUGGAUUGAGGGAAUAUCCAAGAUCCAAGAUAAUAUUUGCUGCCCUUGUGUGGAAAUCGCCAGUCAAUGUAUCAAUUUCAACCUCAGCAAAGGCAGCCCCAUAGGUGAAGUACCUAAAUGGGUUUCCUUUACCAGUUCUCCAAUCAAAGCCAAUCUCGGGUGUAACAUAAAAUCCAUGAGCAGAAAGGUCUAUUCGCUGAACGUAGCAUGCACUUGCCAGCUGUGAACAAUUUAAAUUAACCACCAUAUAUAACUUGUGAUAACGAAGGACCUUACUGGGAAUAAAGGCCAGAAGUAAGAUUUCAAGAACAGCCAUACAAUAGAUAAUCUAUCAAAUGGCUAUAAAAUGAUCUAAUUGCUUCCAAAUUUUCCCAGCAAGACAACUUCUUGUUCCGUAUGAUCAUAAAAUCCCAAAAAAUUAGAGAACACUUAAUGGUCAUCUUGCCAUCUGGAAACAGUUGCAUUUACAUUUAAGCAUCAGGAUAUGAUGUAUAAACAUACUUAAGUCUUUUGAUAGUUGAUUUCUAAUCAGACACUAAGGAGAUAAUCUUGCACACAUAAAAGGGUGUGAAACUAAACUUUUUCAUUGAAAGGAUAAACCCAGAAAAUUUUAUGCAGAAAUCAUGAGAAUAAACCCACCUCCGCAAAUGAGCUGAAAUUAUGUUUUGACGCAAUUGGCUCCAUUCGUGCUUUUAUCUGCUCACAGGCAUCCAAUACUGCUGCUCCAUACAUAUCAGAGCUUGCGGAAGCUGCUGUUGGUGAUGCAUUAGGUACCUUGUCGGUGCUCGUCUCUGAUAUGAACACGGAACUGAGAGGAAUAUUAAAGGCAGAAGCAGCAACUUGAGCUACCUUUGUAUGCAAACCUUGUCCCAUCUCAACUCCUCCAUGUGUAACUAAAACGGUUCCAUCUGUGUAAACAUGAACCAGAGCACCUGCCUGGUUCAUCAGCUUUGUUGUAAAGGAUAUGCCAAAUUUUGUUGGAACCAUAGCAACACCACGCUUCUUCCAGCGAUUAUGAAGAUUAAAAUGGUUAAUGUCUUCACGAGCCUUCAAAAGAUUGCAAGAUAACUUCAGUUCAUUCCAGAGCUGGGUUAGCGUACAGUAUUGAAGCUGUUGGCCGUAAUGCAGCAUGGAUCCAUCACCUUGGAAAUUGAUUUCCCUUAUCUCUUCUGGGUUUUUGUUAAGUUCUACAGCAAUUCUUUGAAUCCAAUUCUCCGUUAUAAGCAUUCCUUGAGGGCCCCCAAAUCCUCGGAAGGCAGUGUGACUGGGAAAAUUGGUAAAGCAAACUCGUCCCAGUAUUCUGAUAUUUGGUAUCUCAUAGACAUUGUCAGAAUGAAACAUGGCACGUUCAAGAACAGCGAGAGACAGAUCUAGCGAAUUCCCAGCAUUAUUGUAGAUUUUAAGAUCCAAAGCAAGGACUUUUCCCUCCUUUGUAAACCCAACCUUGUACUUUCCAAGAAAGCUAUGGCGCUGCCCAGUAAUCAUCAUGUCUAUAUCUCUGUCUAAAAUGAUUUUCACUGGCCGAUUCAACAUAUAUGAUGGGACAGAAGCUGCAGCAGCAAGGAAAGCUGAUCUUGUCUCCUUUCCACCAAAUCCACCACCAAUUCUUUUGGUUUUACAAACAACUUUUGACAUUGGAAGGCCAAGAACAUGAGCCACAUACUUCUGGUGUUUCUGAGGAGCUUGGGUAGAUGAUAUCAUAUGAACUUCAUUACCACUAUCUGUUGUCCAAACCAAGCUGCCCUGUGGCUCCAAGUAAAAGUGUUCCUGACCUCCCACUUGAACUUCCCCCUCUAUGAUUUUGUCACAUUGACCAGAUUGAAAACAGUGUUCGACAUCACCCUUUUUCAAAUACUUCUCCGAGUUAGGAUGGUAACUGUCAGCAUUGAUAGCUUCCUGUAUAGAUAAUAUUGCUGGAAGCUCUUCAUACUCCACAUAAACUUUCCUUGCUGCUAUUUUUGCAUUUUCAUGUGUAUCUGCAACAACCACUCCGAUAACCUGACCUACACAAGUGACAAACUCUGAAGCAAACAGCUCCUCGUCAUCAAUCACUGGGCCAAUGCGAUUAUCACCUGGAAUAUCUUUGGCUAAAAAUAUGCCUGCAAACCCAGGUGAAGACUUGGCUUCCGAAUCAUCUAUCUUAACGAUUCGAGCAUGAGGUUUUUUGCUCAACACUAAAGCAGCAUGCAGACCAUUGGAAGGCAUUGGCAUAUCAUCGGUAUACUCUGCCUCCCCUGUAACCUGAAGUCUUGAUGAGAGAUGAACCUCAGGAGAACCAACAGCUGUCCCGUGUUUUCUAAUUUCAUAGUCCUGACUUCCCACAACUGAUGGCCGAUGGAAUGGUUGUACAGCAGACAAAUGAGAUAUUAGUAUACUUUCGAUAGAUUUCUUCCCAUCCAUCUGAUGUGAAACCCACAAGAAAAAUUUGAAGAAGAAACUAAGGGUUAAAGAUUUCCGAAACUCCACCAUCCCACCAGGAGCAUCUUCCUUAAGCAAGAUAUCAGUUUCUAACACUUUCAAAGCACCCUCCAAAAGUUCCUGAUUCCAAUUCUUCCCAAUGAGAAAUUCUUUGGCUUUUAUUGCAGACAAAGAGAUAGGAGCUACACCACCAUAAACAAUUGAUGCAUCAGAAACCAACCACUGUUCACCUUUUUCCUCAAGAAAGACACGCAUUCCAGCAUUCACAAUUGCAAUAUCAUCAUCUCUCCUAUGAGCCUGCUUAUAUUCUUUCACAUACUCAAAAGGCCUAGUCCAUGGUAAGAAUAUUGAGAGUAAAACUUCAUCACUUGCAAGAUCUACCUUUCGAUAACCUAGGAAGAAAUUUUCUGCGAGGGUUGUUCUGAUGUUGCCUCUGCAAUCAAUGAUAUGAAACCUUGCUCUUGCAGCCAUCCAGAGAGGGUUUAAGUCUGAUAUUGGACUUGCUGUACAUAUAUUUCCCCCAACAGAAGCAACAUUUUUUAUCUGUGUCCCAGCAAACCAUUUUAAUUGUUCAAUAAAGGCCUUACAUGAAGACACUUCAUGAGCAGCCCGUUCAUUUACAACCUUUCUGAGCAUUUGCAGGAGUUCAGUCAGUCUUACUGCAGCACCAAUCUCUAAGCCGUCAUCCUUGAAAUUCAAGACAUUGAGCUCAGGUACAUGUGCAACAGAGAUCAAAACAUGAUACUGGAUUCUCUUCAACCUCAUCUCUAUUCCAACCUCAGUAUUACCUAUCAAUAGUUUUGCUUCAGGGUGUUUAGCUUUUAACUCAAGCAAAUGUUGAAGGCUCAAGGGUCGAUACCACUUAAGCCCUCCAAAUCCACUCAAACUUAGGGGGUCUAAUUUCAUCAAUAACAACUCAGGAGGAAAAAUAAGCUCUUUGUCUGUAUAUGUACUCCCAUUUACCUCACUAUAAGAGAUGGGUUCAAAACCAUCACCGCAACCUGUAUUAUGUUUGUGGUUGCCAGGACCAACUACAGUUUGUGAUUUACAUGAACAUGGUUUACCAGUUAAGGGGCACACAAAUUCAUCUCCUUGAAGGUUUAGUGUAGACUUAUCAGUGUAUAAUGCAUCAUUACUUUUUGCAAAAACUUGAAAUGCAUCAACAAUCGGCCUAUAACCAGUGCAACGGCACAAAUUUCCAGCAAGGCAUUCUUCAAUUUGCUCUUCUGUGGGUGGUGUUUUGCUUGACCUUAAUAGUGCAUACAUUGACAUGAUAAACCCAGGAGUACAAAAUCCACACUGGGAGCCAUGAGAACGUGCCAAUGAUUCUUGAAUUGGAUGCAAGCCAUUUUUGCAGCUCCCAACUCCCUCCACUGUAAUUACAUGCAUGCCUUCUAUAGAAUAGAGAGGAGCCAAGCAUGCAUUAACAGCAUAAUGCACACAUUUCUUCAUGCUCUUGUUAUAAUGAGAAACCAUAACAGUGCAAGCCCCACAACCACCUUCACCACAGCCAAGUUUUGUCCCCACCAAACCAAUGUCUCUGAGAUACUCAAGGAGGGUCAAGUGGGCCAACCCAUCAGGCAACACUCUUCGAACUCCAUUGACGUACAAGAUUGGCUCCUUCGCUGAUUCAUCUCCAAUCUGCUCCACUACUCGUACUUCGUUCUUCAAGGACCCCAUUAAAGUUUCCUUUCUGAACCCACUACCUCCACCGUCAAAUAAUAUCUCACGUUAAGAACCUCGUAUCUUGAUCCUCAGGAUUCUGAUGCGUUUGAUAAGGUUCUUUGUUUGAUCUAUUUAUUGACCUUUGGAACAUUCAACGCGGACGCACCUGCCAGCAAAAUUUUCCACACUUUAAAUUUUCCGCUUUCCACAGUUAAAAUUUUCCAAAUACGGAAGCCAUUUCUAUUGUACUUUCAGCAGGCUGCUUUUACUCU
This 4909-nucleotide unclassified non-coding RNA is filed under the name Hevea brasiliensis (rubber tree). The record is from RNAcentral. Lineage: Eukaryota; Viridiplantae; Streptophyta; Magnoliopsida; Malpighiales; Euphorbiaceae.